GCCCACCAGAUUCCUUUCCAUCAGACCUGGACCCUGGUCUGAGCGAUUAUAAAGGAGGGAAAGUAAAACUGAAAUUGCCUUAAAUUCUUUUGCCACACAUAAGCUAGUCGCAAACAACA
RNAcentral lists this small nucleolar RNA (119 nucleotides) under Echinops telfairi (small Madagascar hedgehog). RNAcentral's name for it is "Small nucleolar RNA SNORA61 (ENSETEG00000026261.1)". The record is from RNAcentral. Lineage: Eukaryota; Metazoa; Chordata; Mammalia; Afrosoricida; Tenrecidae.